RNAcentral lists this ribosomal RNA (253 nucleotides) under uncultured bacterium. Its description in RNAcentral is "partial 16S ribosomal RNA". It matches the Rfam family "Bacterial small subunit ribosomal RNA", at positions 524 to 776 of the family's 1533-position model. The record is from RNAcentral.
UACAGAGGUCUCAAGCGUUGUUCGGAUUCAUUGGGCGGAAAGGGUGCGUAGGCGGCGCGGUAAGUCGGGUGUGAAAUCUUGGAGCUUAACUCCGAAACUGCAUUCGAUACUGCCGUGCUUGAGGACUGGAGAGGAGACUGGAAUUUACGGUGUAGCGGUGAAAUGCGUAGAUAUCGUAAGGAAGACCAGUGGCGAAGGCGGGUCUCUGGACAGUUCCUGACGCUGAGGCACGAAGGCCAGGGGAGCAAACGGG